RNAcentral lists this ribosomal RNA (357 nucleotides) under uncultured bacterium. RNAcentral describes it as "bacterial SSU rRNA". It matches the Rfam family "Archaeal small subunit ribosomal RNA", at positions 723 to 1080 of the family's 1478-position model. The record is from RNAcentral.
ACGGAAUAGAUACCCUGGUAGUCCCAGCCGUAAACGAUGCUCGCUAGGUGUCAGGCAUGGCGCGACCGUGUCUGGUGCCGCAGGGAAGCCGUGAAGCGAGCCACCUGGGAAGUACGGCCACAAGGCUGAAACUUAAAGGAAUUGGCGGGGGAGCACAACAACGGGUGGAGCCUGCGGUUUAAUUGGACUCAACGCCGGACAACUCACCGGGGGCGACAGCAAUAUGUAGGCCAAGCUGAAGACUUUGCCUGAAUCGCUGAGAGGAGGUGCAUGGCCGUCGCCAGUUCGUACUGUGAAGCAUCCUGUUAAGUCAGGCAACGAGCGAGACCCGUGCCCACUGUUACCAGCAUGUCCUGG